UGCAGUUGAGGCCCCCGGUU
Molecule: unclassified non-coding RNA, 20 nt
Filed under: Chlamydomonas reinhardtii
Lineage: Eukaryota; Viridiplantae; Chlorophyta; Chlorophyceae; Chlamydomonadales; Chlamydomonadaceae
Description: small RNA Cre_3031
Source: RNAcentral